Long non-coding RNA from Homo sapiens (human), 1297 nucleotides. The record is from Ensembl. Lineage: Eukaryota; Metazoa; Chordata; Mammalia; Primates; Hominidae.
GCAGUUUGAGAAGAUGGCGGCCUGAACCGGAGUCCUUCUUCCCCUCCUCCCUCUCCGCUGCUGCAAUGCCCAGGCCCCCCGCAACGUUCCUCGUCUGUAAUGGUGCCAGAGGCUUUAAAUCUUGCAGAAGCCACAUCUGCUGCCUGCAGAAUCAGAGGGACCCUGAGCUUGUUUUCCUGCAACUAGAUGGUCCCAUCUGGGGGUGAUGGGAGACAGUGACAGAUCAUCAGGCCUUGGAUUCUCAUAAGAAGCACGCAACCUAGAUCCCUCACAUGUGCCGUUCACAACAGGUUUCAUGCUCUUGUGCACAUCCAAUGGUUCCUAAAGGGCCACAGACCGGUACUGGUCCUUGGCCCAGGGGUUGAGGACCCCUGUUCUAUAAGGUCGGGAGAGAGGCCUCAGAAGAAACCAACCCUGCCGAGACACCUUGAUCUCAGACUUCAGCCUCCAGAACUGCGCGGUGAUGCGUUCCUGUUGAAGGCACUCUGACCGCAGUGGCUUGCCGUGGCAGCCCUCGACAACAAAUACAGGGUCUGUUGAACCAAAUGAAUCCAAAAUGUAUGCCCAAAGAUAGCCGCCAGGUCUAUGAAAACACCUGCUCUGAUAUGAGGGGACGUGGACCACAGAGAGAUGGGGUUUCACCAUAUUGGCCAGGCUGGUCUUGAACUCAAGAUGAUUCGCCCAACACAGCCUCUCAAAGUGCUGGGAUUACAGUCUCCGGUAUGUCAUUAUCAGCAGUGUGAAAAUGGACUCACUCCCACCCUGUCUGGAUCUGGACAAGAGCCCACCACCCCGUUGGCAGUAGUCAGGCAGCUCUGCUUCUAAGAACCUGCAGCUUUUGGAAGAAAGGCACCCUGUGGUUUCAGAAGCCCAAGAGUCCCUGCAGCUCAGCACCCCCAGCCUGGUGCUUGGCAGAUGACUGCCUCCUCACUUAGCAGAGGGAGCAGAAAACUGUGUAUUCUUCAGAACAUCAUGAUAACCUGGCACUCAUGGGUCUAUGGAGAGAAUUCAGGGGGUCUGGGAGCUUGGAUGGAAUAAAUUUGCAUCUUUAUUUUCAGGAAAGUUUUACUGAAGUUUAGCAUUUUCUUUCAUUAUAAAUGGAAUCAGUAUAACCCAAUAGUAUGAGCAGUUACUUCUCCGCAACAUCAAAGUGGCUGCAGAUAUCUCAAAAUAGUAUUUACAUUUAUCAUAACUUAGAAAUUUGGGUGGUAAUUAAACCAGCAACUAUUCUUUGUUUAAUGCAUUAAGAAAGAAGUAUGUAUACUAUCAUAUCUCAAUUAAAAAUAUUUUAAGAACU